This 470-nucleotide ribosomal RNA is filed under the name uncultured bacterium. Its description in RNAcentral is "bacterial SSU rRNA". It matches the Rfam family "Bacterial small subunit ribosomal RNA", at positions 42 to 507 of the family's 1533-position model. The record is from RNAcentral.
GCAGGCUUAACACAUGCAAGUCGAGCGGUAGCAGAUCUAGCUUGCUAGAUGCUGACGAGCGGCGGACGGGUGAGUAACGCAUAGGAACCUGCCCAGUAGUGGGGGAUAGCCCGGGGAAACUCGGAUUAAUACCGCAUACGCUCUACGGAGGAAAGAGGGGCUUCGGGCUCUCGCUAUUGGAUGGGCCUGCGUGAGAUUAGCUAGUUGGUGAGGUAAUGGCUCACCAAGGCGACGAUCUCUAGCUGGUCUGAGAGGAUGAUCAGCCACACUGGGACUGAGACACGGCCCAGACUCCUACGGGAGGCAGCAGUGGGGAAUAUUGCACAAUGGGCGCAAGCCUGAUGCAGCCAUGCCGCGUGUGUGAAGAAGGCUUUCGGGUUGUAAAGCACUUUCAGUGGGGAGGAAGGCCUCGUAGUUAAUAGCUGCGAGGAUUGACGUUACCCACAGAAGAAGCACCGGCUAACUCCGUG